GGUGACCUGAGGGGAGAAGGAACAAAAUGUCAGAUCUUCAGGUGAAUCUUAACGACUCGACAUCUGGCCGUGCCUCAGACUCACCAAUGACCCACUGGAUCCAGAUGACGUCAUAGCGCCCGUUCUCUGGAACAAAGUCCUGCAGGCCACAGCAGAAGUAGUGCCCCACCCUCUUUCCAUCCUCUCCUAGGUACGACUUGGCUUUGUCCAGGAACUCCUGUGUCACGUCCACCAGGUCCACGGUUUUGAAGAGUGGCAGCAGCAGGCGCUUGGUGAUCCUGCCGAUGCCGGCGCCGCAGUCCAGAGCGCAACCCGGACUGGUCGCCCCCUCGCCUUCCUUCAGAGACAAGUAAUGUAGUUUUUAUUUCUAUUGUUAUGAUUUUAGUGGCUGCUGUAUGUAAACUGCCUGUGAUGAUCUAUGGAUUGAACAGUGUUUAAGGUGCAAAUAAAUGUAUCACCACACAAAAAGUUAAAUAACAUAAUUGGAGGCUUAAAAAUCUAAAUUGCAGAGAUAGUUUUCUUAAUCAACUCCAGUUUAAAACACUUACAAAGGAGGUGAAGGAAGACCUGGACAAGGACAUCACGAUGGAAGAACUAUUGCAGUCCUUUAAUUGUAUCAACUCAGGCCUACCAAUAGAGCUCUAUAAAACUUUUCAGAAGCAGCUGUUGACCCCACUUUUAAAUAUGUUUAAUGAGUCAUUUAAUAAUGGCAUAUUACCACCAACUUUAAGACUCGCUACAAUAAUUCUUAUUUUGAAACCUGGGAAAAUACCAACUAACUGCUCCUCAUACAGGCCUAUUAGUCUUAUGGGAGUAGACACAAAACUAUUGCGUAAAGUCCUUGCUAAAAGGCUAGAUCCAUAUAUCCCUUCUUUGGUACAUUGUGAUCAGAAUGGGUUCGUACAGAAUCGUCAGGGAUUUCAUAACAUUAGAAGGGUCCUCAAUAUAAUUCACUCUAAAACUAAUACCAGGGAUACAGCACUUCUUUCUCUAGAUGCUAGACAAGCGUUUGAUAGAAUCAAAUGGCCUUAUUUGUUUGAUUUGUUACCAAGAUAAGGACUUGGGGGAACAUUUUUGAAAUGGAUAAAGUUAUUGUACACUUAUCCUACAGCAUGUGUAAGAACGAAUAACAUUUUAUCAGGCCCGUUAAGGUCAGAGAGGUCAACCCGCCAGGGCUGUCCCCUCUCCCCAUUAUUGUUUAUUUUGGCCAUUGAGCCUUUAGCCGUGUCCAUUAGAGCUGAAGCCAAUCUAUCAGGUAUAACAAUUGGAGGUCAUGACCAUAGGAUAUCGCUGUAUGCAGAUGACGUGAUUCUUUUUUUGUCAAACUUAUCAAACAGUGUCCAGACGUUAUUGCAUUUAAAUAAUAAAUUUGGUCAGUUUUCUGGAUACAGUAUUAAUAAUGAAAAAUCUUUUAUACUUUUCUUGAAUGAAGAAGAGAGAAAUAAUCCGGUUAUAGAUACACCUAUUUUAGUGUGAGGGAGGGGUUUACCUGUCUUGGGAUCAAGAUUACUCCCCAAAUGAAUACAGUUGUUGAAGCAAACUAUGACCCACUGAUGAGAGAGGUACAAGAUUUACUUGAAAAAUGGACGACAAUGCCAAUAUCAAUGAUUGGCCGGAUCAACUUAAUUAAGAUGACUAUCUUGCCAAAAUUCUUAUAUUUGUUUCAGUCACUCCCAUUACCAUUGCCAAAACAUUUUUUUAAAGACAUUAAUAGUGCGUUUUGUAGAUUUAUCUAGAGGUAAAAACCUAGAUUAAGACUAAAAUUUCUAUAUUUGCCAUAUGAUAGGGGUGGAUUACAGUUGCCCAAUCUACAGUGGUAUUAUUGGGCUGCUCAGCUACGCAGUGCUAUGUUUUACUUUGUCACACACUCUCCUCUAGCAUGUGUUUCUAUUGAACAAGCAUCAGUAUCUAAGUUGCCAUUAAGCCUAUACUUAAGCCUAUACCUAUAUUCAGCAGAUUUUAAAACUUUAAAGAAAAAAACAACAAAUCCCUUUCUUAAAAACUCUAUUGAUAUUUGGUUUAGGGCUCAUAGACAUAUUGGUGAUACACCCCCCAUCUCUCAAUUUUCACCUGGGAUAAUGGGCAGUUCACUCCUGGCAGGACAGAUGGUGGUUUUCGGGCUUGGGCCGACAGGGGGAUACGAAAAAUUGGAGACUUAUAUGUUCAGGGCAAUUUAUUAACAUUUAACAACCUUUGUGUGAAAUAUUCAAUCCCAAAAAAACACUUUUUUAAAUAUUUACAGUUAAGGCACUUCAUUUUAUCAAGGUGUCACCAGGCUACGCAUGAGCCGCCGCUGUCCUGUCUUGAGGGUAUCAUGUUAAAACACAUGAAUGGGAGAUGGCAAAUUUCUACACUCUAUACAGCAUGAUGAGGAAUCUAGUCAUGAUAGAAGGAGGGCAUGGAGUUUGGAUAUUUAGGAAGAUAUUGAAGAAGCUGAGUGGGCGAAAGCGAGUUUAAAAGCUCAAUCGCAAACCAUUAAUACUCGAAUGAAACUGUUACAACACAAAUGGUUAAUGAGGACAUACAUAACCCCUGAGAAACUCAACAAGUGGUCCCCUGGCAUUCCAGAUACAUGUGUGAAAUGUUUGACUGAGAAAGGUACUUUAAUUCAUUGUGUAUGGGAAUGCCCGAAAUUGGUAGCUUUUUGGAAAAUGGUUGCCUGAACUUUAAGUUUACUUACAGGCACUCAGGUACCCUGCGUAGCUAAACUUUGUAUUUUGGGAUAAACCCAGAUUGCUUUUCUGUUAACUCUAAGUGUAAGACGUUGAUCAACUUUGGCCUCCUGCAGGCCAGGAGGAUGGUUGCAUUAUCUACAUGAGAAACUAAAGUAUCCUCUACACAAUCUUGGAUUAGGGAGAUGGCAAGUUGUGUUACAUUCAAGAAAUGCAUCAGUUUUAAUGGAAAGACUUGGAAAGGACAAAUAUGGCUGAUAAUCCUUAUUUUAGUUCGUCUUUAGGGUUCAGGAAACACCGAGCUGACAGUUGACUGUCUUGCCAUUGACGACCAUCUGAGGGCCACACAAUAGCAUCAGUGGCUUUCUGCCAAUUCAGCUGGACGUCAGUGGGAAAAAACUCACUCAAGAAACACAGGAGAAAAACCCCAUUGACACACAGUGGGGCAAAAACAAUUUUUUUCACAAUGUGUGAAAUGUGGUGAUAAUUUAGGAUAUAAUUGGAUUUUCUUACUCCGAGGAACUUGUGCAGAAAUGCUUUGGAUCCGUUGAGAUCGAUGGUGGAGAUGGUGCCGUAGCCUCCCAGCAUCCCAUCCACUGUGGGGGGAACCUCCUUCCAGUAACCCUCAGCGUUGGAGUAGAAGCUCGCCUCAUUCUGUGCGAUGUCACCCAUCCUGUCAGAGUCCACAGGAAAUGAGUUUUACCCGAACGAAAAGGAACAAGCAAAAAUGAAACAAGCAAAGAUAAACUGGUCCAAAGUGAACUUUCUACCCGCACUGACCUGGUCUCGUGUCACCACCGCCUCCUCCUCCUCAUCAGCCCGGGUUCUCCGGUAUCCGCCGCCGGUCCCUGCGUCACUUUCCAAUUUGAGACACAGACGACGUCAUAUCCUUAUUUGGUUCAGAGGAGAAGCAACAGCUCCCCCUGCUGGAGGCUCUUACAAACUGACUGACCCAGUGAUGAACAUGAUGGCUGGAUGAAUGUCAUUACCUCCAGUCACCAGUGGGAGGAGCUUUAGUGCUGAACAAACUGGCAACUCAGCAACAUCAGUUCCUCUGGAGGACUUCUUUAUUCUGUGCAUUUCUGACCUGAACACACAGCAGGCUGCAUGUAGGAAGGAGACA
Solea senegalensis (Senegalese sole) is the source of this 3795-nucleotide long non-coding RNA. RefSeq lists it as uncharacterized. The transcript is spliced from 3 exons. Lineage: Eukaryota; Metazoa; Chordata; Actinopteri; Pleuronectiformes; Soleidae. The record is from RefSeq and is a predicted model, not a curated record.